Molecule: ribosomal RNA, 330 nt
Filed under: uncultured bacterium
Lineage: Bacteria
Description: bacterial SSU rRNA
Rfam family: Bacterial small subunit ribosomal RNA
Source: RNAcentral
CGUGCAGGUGGUUUUGUAAGUGGUGCGUGAAAGCGCUCGGCUCAACCGGGCGAGGCCGUGCCAAACUGCGAGACUGGAAACAGGCAGAGGAAAGUGGAAUUCGGGGUGUAGUGGUGAAAUGCGUAGAGAUCCCGAGGAACUCCAGUGGCGAAGGCGACUUUCUGGGCCUGCUUUGACACUCAGACGCGAAAGCAUGGGGAGCGAACGGGAUUAGAAACCCCGGUAGUCCAUGCCGUAAACGAUGUCUACUGGGCGUUUGCCUCGCAAGAGGUGAGUGCCGCAGCCAACGCGAUAAGUAGACCGCCUGGGGAGUACGACCGCAAGGUUAAA